GGUUGUUGCAGACUAGAGGAGCGCAUGCGUGAGGCCCUCCCCCCAGCGCUGCCGUUGAGAAGUAUUUACUCAGUGAGUGGAAGAGGUUUGUUUGAAACAGACCGCAAUGGAGAGACCAGCGCCCAGGGAAGCGAGGGAACAGCAGGCUCCUUCCGGCAACAUAUCGAGGAAAAUACUCGAAGGACCAAGAUGAUGUAAUAUUUUGUCGGUACAAAGCCAAGUGUGAGCAGCUGCUUCUAACUAACAGCAGGCAAAUACCUGAAGGACGAAGAGAAAGUGAUAUUCCCUCGGUCCAAAGCCAAGUGUGACCAGCUGCUUCUAAGAAACAGAAGGUAUUUUACCGCUGUCAGAGCAGAGAACAUCCUUCCCACAGGCACAGAGCAGAUUGAGUCAGACAUACAUUGAAGUCAAUUUCCAGUGAGAUAUGCUCAAACAACACAGAGGAAAUACAAGUUUUUUUUUUCCACCAUUCACAAUGCACACCUGCCCAGUUUGAACAAAUUGCAGCAUUUAAGGUUUGGCAAAGAUCUGCAGCUCGGGUAGUGGAUAAUGUUGCUGACUUGCUCGCUGAGCUGGCUUGUUUUUGUUCAGACGUUUUC
Molecule: long non-coding RNA, 599 nt
Organism: Rhincodon typus (whale shark)
Lineage: Eukaryota; Metazoa; Chordata; Chondrichthyes; Orectolobiformes; Rhincodontidae
Exons: 3
Source: RefSeq, a predicted model, not a curated record